RNAcentral lists this ribosomal RNA (450 nucleotides) under uncultured bacterium. Its description in RNAcentral is "partial 16S ribosomal RNA". It matches the Rfam family "Bacterial small subunit ribosomal RNA", at positions 354 to 796 of the family's 1533-position model. The record is from RNAcentral.
GUGGGGAAUUUUGGACAAUGGGCGAAAGCCUGAUCCAGCCAUGCCGCGUGCAGGAUGAAGGCCUUCGGGUUGUAAACUGCUUUUGUACGGAACGAAAAGACUCCUUCUAAUAAAGGGGGUCCAUGACGGUACCGUAAGAAUAAGCACCGGCUAACUACGUGCCAGCAGCCGCGGUAAUACGUAGGGUGCAAGCGUUAAUCGGAAUUACUGGGCGUAAAGCGUGCGCAGGCGGUGAUAUAAGACAGAUGUGAAAUCCCCGGGCUCAACCUGGGAACUGCAUUUGUGACUGUAUAGCUAGAGUACGGUAGAGGGGGAUGGAAUUCCGAGUGUAGCAGUGAAAUGCGUAGAUAUGCGGAGGAACACCGAUGGCGAAGGCAAUCCCCUGGACCUGUACUGACGCUCAUGCACGAAAGCGUGGGGAGCAAACAGGAUUAGAUACCCGAGUAGUCC